RNAcentral lists this ribosomal RNA (301 nucleotides) under uncultured bacterium. Its description in RNAcentral is "partial 16S ribosomal RNA". It matches the Rfam family "Bacterial small subunit ribosomal RNA", at positions 509 to 809 of the family's 1533-position model. The record is from RNAcentral.
CAGUAGCCGCGGUAAUACGGAGGGUGCGAGCGUUAAUCGGAAUUACUGGGCGUAAAGCGUACGCAGGCGGUCUGUUAAGUCAGAUGUGAAAUCCCCGGGCUUAACCCGGGAACUGCAUUUGAAACUGGCAGGCUAGAGUCUCGUAGAGGGGGGUAGAAUUCCAGGUGUAGCGGUGAAAUGCGUAGAGAUCUGGAGGAAUACCGGUGGCGAAGGCGGCCCCCUGGACGAAGACUGACGCUCAGGUACGAAAGCGUGGGGAGCAAACAGGAUUAGAUACCCCGGUAGUCCCUGUCUCUUAUGC